AUUGAACGCUGGCGGCAGGCCUAACACAUGCAAGUCGAACGGUAACAGGAAGAAGCUUGCUUCUUUGCUGACGAGUGGCGGACGGGUGAGUAAUGUCUGGGAAACUGCCUGAUGGAGGGGGAUAACUACUGGAAACGGUAGCUAAUACCGCAUAACGUCGCAAGCCCAAAGAGGGGGACCUUCGGGCCUCUUGCCAUCGGAUGUGCCCUGAUGGGAUUAGCUAGUAGGUGGGGUAACGGCUCACCUAGGCGACGAGCCCUAGCUGGUCUGAGAGGAUGACCAGCCACACUGGAACGGGGACACGGUCCAGACUCCUACGGGAGGCAGCAGUGGGCAAUAUUGCACAAUGGGCGCAAGCCUUAUGCAGCCAUGCCGCGUGUAUUAAGAAGGCCUUCGGGUUGUAAAGUACUUUCAGCGGGGAGGAAGGGAGUAAAGUUAAUACCUUUGCUCAUUGACGUUACCCGCAGAAGAAGCACCGGCUAACUCCGUG
Molecule: ribosomal RNA, 490 nt
Filed under: uncultured bacterium
Lineage: Bacteria
Description: partial 16S ribosomal RNA
Rfam family: Bacterial small subunit ribosomal RNA
Source: RNAcentral